GUCUGAUGCAGCAACGCCGCGUGGAGGAUGACACAUUUCGGUGCGUAAACUCCUUUUAUAUAAGAAGAUAAUGACGGUAUUAUAUGAAUAAGCACCGGCUAACUCCGUGCCAGCAGCCGCGGUAAUACGGGGGGUGCAAGCGUUACUCGGAAUCACUGGGCGUAAAGAGCAUGUAGGCGGAUUAAUAAGUUUGAAGUGAAAUCCUAUAGCUUAACUAUAGAACUGCUUUGAAAACUGUUAGUCUAGAAUGUGGGAGAGGUAGAUGGAAUUUCUGGUGUAGGGGUAAAAUCCGUAGAGAUCAGAAGGAAUACCGAUUGCGAAGGCGAUCUGCUGGAACAUUAUUGACGCUGAGAUGCGAAAGCGUGGGGAGCAAACAGGAUUAGAUACCCUGGUAGUCCACGCCCUAAACGAUGUACACUAGUUGUUGUGAGACUUGAUCUUGCAGUAAUGCAGUUAACACAUUAAGUGUACCGCCUGGGGAGUACGGUCGCAAGAUUAAAACUCAAAGGAAUAGACGGGGACCCGCACAAGCGGUGGAGCAUGUGGUUUAAUUCGACGAUACACGAAGAACCUUACCUGGACUUGACAUAGUAAGAACUUUCUAGAGAUAGAUUGGUGUCUGCUUGCAGAAACUUAUAUACAGGUGCUGCACGGCUGUCGUCAGCUCGUGUCGUGAGAUGUUGGGUUAAGUCCCGCAACGAGCGCAACCCUCGU
RNAcentral lists this ribosomal RNA (714 nucleotides) under uncultured Arcobacter sp. Its description in RNAcentral is "bacterial SSU rRNA". It matches the Rfam family "Bacterial small subunit ribosomal RNA", at positions 381 to 1108 of the family's 1533-position model. The record is from RNAcentral. Lineage: Bacteria; Pseudomonadati; Campylobacterota; Epsilonproteobacteria; Campylobacterales; Arcobacteraceae.